RNAcentral lists this non-coding RNA (29 nucleotides) under Mus musculus (house mouse). Lineage: Eukaryota; Metazoa; Chordata; Mammalia; Rodentia; Muridae. The record is from RNAcentral.
UGGCUAGCGAUAAGGGUAGGAACUCCUGA